Molecule: transfer RNA, 73 nt
Filed under: Alligator mississippiensis (American alligator)
Lineage: Eukaryota; Metazoa; Chordata; Crocodylia; Alligatoridae
Description: tRNA-Arg (TCT) (tRNA-Arg-TCT-9-1)
Rfam family: tRNA
About the family: Transfer RNA (tRNA) molecules are approximately 80 nucleotides in length. Their secondary structure includes four short double-helical elements and three loops (D, anti-codon, and T loops).
Source: RNAcentral
GGCUCUGUGGUGCAAUGGCCAGCACGUUGGACUUCUAAUUCAAAGGUUGUGGGUUCAAGUCCCACCAGAGUCA